CGGAGGGUGCGAGCGUUGUCCGGAAUCACUGGGCGUAAAGGGCGCGUAGGUGGCUUCUCAAGCGCGCGGUGAGAGCCCGGGGCUCAACCCCGGGUCGGCCGUGCGGACUGGGAGGCUCGAGCACUGUAGGGGCGGGUGGAAUUCCGGGUGUAGCGGUGGAAUGCGUAGAGAUCCGGAAGAACACCGGUGGCGAAGGCGGCCCGCUGGGCAGGAAGGCUCGCAAGAGCCGGCUGACACUGAGGCGCGACAGCGUGGGGAGCAAACAGGAUUAGAUACCCUGGUAGUCCACGCCGUAAACGAUGGGCACUAGGUGCUUGGGGGAGCGACCCCCCGGGUGCCGGCGCUAACGCAUUAAGUGCCCCGCCUGGGGAGUACGGCCGCAAGGCUG
This 388-nucleotide ribosomal RNA is filed under the name uncultured organism. RNAcentral describes it as "bacterial SSU rRNA". It matches the Rfam family "Bacterial small subunit ribosomal RNA", at positions 526 to 896 of the family's 1533-position model. The record is from RNAcentral.